This 75-nucleotide transfer RNA is filed under the name Bacillota bacterium. Its description in RNAcentral is "Firmicutes bacterium (sediment metagenome) tRNA-Thr". It matches the Rfam family "tRNA". From Rfam's summary of the family: Transfer RNA (tRNA) molecules are approximately 80 nucleotides in length. Their secondary structure includes four short double-helical elements and three loops (D, anti-codon, and T loops). Further hydrogen bonds mediate the characteristic L-shaped molecular structure. tRNAs have two regions of fundamental functional importance: the anti-codon, which is responsible for specific mRNA codon recognition, and the 3' end, to which the tRNAs corresponding amino acid is attached (by aminoacyl-tRNA synthetases). tRNAs cope with the degeneracy of the genetic code in two manners: having more than one tRNA (with a specific anti-codon) for a particular amino acid; and 'wobble' base-pairing, i.e. permitting non-standard base-pairing at the 3rd anti-codon position. Lineage: Bacteria; Bacillati; Bacillota. The record is from RNAcentral.
GCCGGCGUAGCUCAACGGCAGAGCAGCUGAUUUGUAAUCAGCAGGUUGCGGGUUCGAAUCCUGCCGCCGGCUCCA